This 731-nucleotide ribosomal RNA is filed under the name uncultured bacterium. RNAcentral's name for it is "bacterial SSU rRNA". It matches the Rfam family "Bacterial small subunit ribosomal RNA", at positions 59 to 777 of the family's 1533-position model. The record is from RNAcentral.
CAGUCGAGGGGAAACGACAUCGAAAGCUUGCUUUUGAUGGGCGUCGACCGGCGCUCGGGUGAGUAACGCGUAUCCAACCUGCCCACCACUUGGGGAUAACCUUGCGAAAGUAAGACUAAUACCCAAUGAUAUCUCUAGAAGACAUCUGAAAGAGAUUAAAGAUUUAUCGGUGAUGGAUGGGGAUGCGUCUGAUUAGCUUGUUGGCGGGGUAACGGCCCACCAAGGCAACGAUCAGUAGGGGUUCUGAGAGGAAGGUCCCCCACAUUGGAACUGAGACACGGUCCAAACUCCUACGGGAGGCAGCAGUGAGGAAUAUUGGUCAAUGGACGAGAGUCUGAACCAGCCAAGUAGCGUGCAGGAAGACGGCCCUAUGGGUUGUAAACUGCUUUUAUAAGGGAAUAAAGUGAGAGUCGUGACUCUUUUUGCAUGUACCUUAUGAAUAAGGACCGGCUAAUUCCGUGCCAGCAGCCGCGGUAAUACGGAAGGUCCGGGCGUUAUCCGGAUUUAUUGGGUUUAAAGGGAGCGUAGGCCGGAGAUUAAGCGUGUUGUGAAAUGUAGAUGCUCAACAUCUGCACUGCAGCGCGAACUGGUUUCCUUGAGUACGCACAAAGUGGGCGGAAUUCGUGGUGUAGCGGUGAAAUGCUUAGAUAUCACGAAGAACUCCGAUUGCGAAGGCAGCUCACUGGAGCGCAACUGACGCUGAAGCUCGAAAGUGCGGGUAUCGAACAGGA